This 203-nucleotide unclassified non-coding RNA is filed under the name Hevea brasiliensis (rubber tree). The record is from RNAcentral. Lineage: Eukaryota; Viridiplantae; Streptophyta; Magnoliopsida; Malpighiales; Euphorbiaceae.
AAGAAAGGAUCAAUCCGGACCCAGAGGAGUGAGAAGAUUGAAGCCAGAAGAAUGGACCAGACAAUAACAAUUGUUGGCGUCCUGUUUUGCCUUCCAACCAAACCUUUGAGGAAUGGGUAAAGAUGGACGAUCACCCAAAAUGCAAAGAAGAGCUUCCCGAAGAGGGGUCCCCAUGAUUCAUACCCGUUAUUGAUUGCAUUCGA